GAUGAACGCUGGCGGCGUGCCUAAUACAUGCAAGUCGAGCGAACAGACGAGGAGCUUGCUCCUCUGACGUUAGCGGCGGACGGGUGAGUAACACGUGGAUAACCUACCUAUAAGACUGGGAUAACUUCGGGAAACCGGAGCUAAUACCGGAUAAUAUAUUGAACCGCAUGGUUCAAUAGUGAAAGACGGUUUUGCUGUCACUUAUAGAUGGAUCCGCGCCGCAUUAGCUAGUUGGUAAGGUAACGGCUUACCAAGGCUACGAUGCGUAGCCGACCUGAGAGGGUGAUCGGCCACGCUGGAACUGAGACACGGUCCAGACUCCUACGGGAGGCAGCAGUAGGGAAUCUUCCGCAAUGGGCGAAAGCCUGACGGAGCAACGCCGCGUGAGUGAUGAAGGUCUUCGGAUCGUAAAACUCUGUUAUUAGGGAAGAACAAAUGUGUAAGUAACUAUGCACGUCUUGACGGUACCUAAUCAGAAAGCCACGGCUAACUACGUG
Molecule: ribosomal RNA, 497 nt
Filed under: uncultured bacterium
Lineage: Bacteria
Description: partial 16S ribosomal RNA
Rfam family: Bacterial small subunit ribosomal RNA
Source: RNAcentral